AACGAACGUUGGCGGCGUGGAUUAGGCAUGCAAGUCGAGCGAAUCCCCGCAAGGGGGGAAGCGGCGAAAGGGGCAGUAAGGCAUGGGUAACCUACCCUGGGGACUGGGAUAGCCCUUCGAGAGAAGGGGUAAUACCGGGCGGUGUGCCGGGCCGGCAUCGGUCAGUCACCAAAUGAGUUUCGCCCUGUGGAGGGGCCCAUGUGAUAUUAGCUAGUUGGUGAGGUAACGGCUCACCAAGGCGAAGAUGUCUAGCGGGUGUGCGAGCACGACCCGCGCCACUGGCACUGAGACACUGGCCAGACACCUACGGGUGGCUGCAGUCGGGGAUCUUCGGCAAUGGGCGCAAGCCUGACCGAGCGACGCCGCGUGUGCGAUGAAGGCCUUCGGGUUGUAAAGCACUGUCGAGAGGGAGAAAAGCGAAAGCUUGAUCUAUCUCUGGAGGAAGCACGGGCUAAGUUCGUGCCAGCAGCCGCAGUAA
Molecule: ribosomal RNA, 478 nt
Filed under: uncultured bacterium
Lineage: Bacteria
Description: partial 16S ribosomal RNA
Rfam family: Bacterial small subunit ribosomal RNA
Source: RNAcentral